RNAcentral lists this long non-coding RNA (2642 nucleotides) under Triticum aestivum (bread wheat). RNAcentral describes it as "long non-coding RNA (TAES_LNC028043)". The record is from RNAcentral. Lineage: Eukaryota; Viridiplantae; Streptophyta; Magnoliopsida; Poales; Poaceae.
UCGUCGGUGAGUACGCGCAGCGGCCCGAAGAGGCGCGUGCUCGCUCCAAGGGCGAGGGGGGAGGCGCCGGAUCUCGCGGGGCAAGUGCGCCAGCGACCUGAGGUAUACAUCGUUCUCUUCCUGAUCUGGAUCCGGCUACUUCAGUUUCCUAGAGUUUACCGAGUAGAUCCGCUGCUGCGCGCAUAGCAUGAGCUGUCGGUGAUCCGCCGUAGGUUUAAUUAUGUCCUCCUUCUGUUGGACUAGGAUCACAGGUGCAUGCAUCUUAAGCCAAGCUGUUGGAUGAAUCAUCAGUAUAUCUAUUUUCUUCAAGAAGUAAAUCAUGCGUGCCGAGUAUUUUUUUUUUCAUUGUUGCCUCGUGUGUGCAUCUUAGUUCUUCAGUGCAGAUUGUUGGCCAUCCGUGAUAGAUUUAUAGUGCUAAUCUGGUGGUGCAAGCUGCUCGAGCAAACCAAAAGUUUUCUAUGCCUUGUUCUACAUGAGGCUUGCUCUACUCUUGGGUAGGUCUGUAUUAGGCACUGUUUCUUCUAUGAAGAACUGUGCACUAGUGAUAAUAGUGUGAGAUUGUUAUUUACCCGUUACUUUUUUUGUGCUGGUUGGUGUGUGUGUGUGAUCUUAAGUGCAGAAUGCUUGUCAUUCACUCUUACUUUUUGUGGGUCAUUUAGAUUGUCUGAGUUUUUUUUAGGUUCUGCUCAUUUCUUUCCUAGAUAACAUAACUAGCUCAUGAUUCAGUACUGUGUUUCUCUUCAUGAAGAUAUAUUGUACUCUUGCAGAUUUGCUUGCUUGCUGACCAUUGUAAUUUUUUUCUUUUCAAUAGGUAUCUUGGUGUAGAAUGAAGUGAAGAGGGCAGAGUAUCUUGGUCUUAUUAAUCAAUGCAUCAUAUUAUGUGCGCAAUAAGAUUUUGCUAUGCUUUCACCGUCGAUGCCCACUGGUUGGAUCAUGCUUCUGUUUAUGAGCUCAUUGAAGUAACUCUCUCGUAGCUCAAAUGGGCCAAUUUCUCGUUUGCGUGGCACACAAAACCUUCAGCUAUCCAUCUCCAUAUCAGUUGGUCUCUCUUAAAUUUGUAAUCUUCUGGAAAUAUGCUUAAGUAUAAUAAAUGAUGCGAAGGUAGAUCAUAGAACAUGAACACAUGGUGUAAAAGAGGCACUCAUGCACCAAAACUAUAAAAAGCAGCAAAGAAAAUGAGUAAAAGAGGCACUUGACUUGUAGAUUAUACAAGAGUGAUGAUCUGGAAGUCAACCCUCUUUUAUCAGUAGUUUUGAUCUACCUUCUCAUCUAUAGGAUUAGUUAUUAUGUCUAAGCAUGUUUUUAGAAGAUUAGAAGAUUAAGCAAGCUCAUUCGAUAUGUAAGGUGGAUAGUUUGAGGUUUUGUUUAUCAUGAAAAACAAGGGAUUAGCAAGUUUGAGCUCGGUGGUAGAAUUGCUCAAUGAGAUCGUGAAUAGGAGCAUGAUUCAACCAAUUGACAUCAAUGUUGACAAAGGCAUGGAAAAAUCUUAUCGUAUACAUGAUAUGGUGAUUGAUUUCAUGUGCUGAAGAAAAACACUUGUGGCACUGAGUGAAAGCGGUCUAUCCAAAGGCAAGAUUUGAAGAUUAUCCACCCGAAAGAGCACUACAGGUAGCAGUGAUGUGACAAUGUGGUCUCUUGCAAUUGUUGAUUCAGUGUAGAUUAUAUUGAGUGUUCCAAGUUCUACAUGCCCUGGAUAUAGAAUAUUGUGCUGCAUGUCUCCAUUCUUGGCAAUCACAAUGAUUCAAGAAUACUGUGUUUGCUAGGACAUGAAGCUCCCAUUGUAUUUCUAACCACUAAUUCUGAAUUAAUAGUCAUGAAUCUCUUGGUGUAUUUGUACCAACUUUGCUGAAUCUAGAACUGUCAAAGUUCUGUGUCGGCUCCUGCAGUUAGCUCAUGAUGAAUUUGUUUUCCCAUUCCUUUAUUUUGAUGCUUGAUUGUUAGUCUGUGUGAUUCUGAUUAUUAUCCGUUGUGUCUCUUUUCUUUAUAGCAGUAGCAGCUUUUGAAGUCCUUUUACUCUGCUUUUUGUAUGAAAUUUAAGGUCAUUGUUCUGAAAUGAUCUGUAUAUGUUGUUGUGAAUUUUUUUAAUGUCCUGUAUAUGUUACAUUUGUUUAAAUUUGUACUAGCCUGAACUGAUUAAAUGAUUUUUGUAGGUAAAAUGAUAUGGAUGAGUACAGUACUAAUGUCUUCAAAUUUGUACUAGCCUGAACUGAUUAAAUGAUUUUUGUAGGUAAAAUGAUAUGGAUGAGUACAGUACCAAUGUCUUCAGCUGUUAUUUUCUUUCUGACUGCUAUCAGUAGCAGGAUCACAAGUGAGGGCGUGCAAUGCCCGUGCUGAAUCUACUUGUUGAGCCGUUUGAAGAUAUUGGUCCUGCAUGCUUCCAUUUUUGCCAAUCGAGGCGGUAUGAGAGGCUGAGGCUCUAGAGCACUGCAUUUGCCCUGUUUUGAUUUGUCUUUCUUCUGUAGUAGAGACAUGAAGUUCUACUUGAGAUUGUAAGGAACUUGCAGUCAGUCAAGUUUAUAGUACAAUUUGUUCAAACAGUUCAGUUUAUAAUACAAUUUCUUCGAACUUGACUUCUGUACUGAUGCUAAGAUUUCUGGAACCAUAUGUUGUGAAGCAAAAGAAAGCCCACUCCUAGGUCUUGC